GUCGAGCGGACGGAUGGGAGCUUGCUCCCUGAAGUCAGCGGCGGACGGGUGAGUAACACGUGGGCAACCUGCCUGUAAGACUGGGAUAACUCCGGGAAACCGGGGCUAAUACCGGAUAACUCUUUUCCUCACAUGAGGAAAAGCUGAAAGAUGGUUUCGGCUAUCACUUACAGAUGGGCCCGCGGCGCAUUAGCUAGUUGGUGAGGUAACGGCUCACCAAGGCCACGAUGCGUAGCCGACCUGAGAGGGUGAUCGGCCACACUGGGACUGAGACACGGCCCAGACUCCUACGGGAGGCAGCAGUAGGGAAUCUUCCGCAAUGGACGAAAGUCUGACGGAGCAACGCCGCGUGAGUGAUGAAGGUUUUCGGAUCGUAAAACUCUGUUGUCAGGGAAGAACAAGUACCGGAGUAACUGCCGGUACCUUGACGGUACCUGACCAGAAAGCCACGGCUAACUACGUGCCAGCAGCCGCGGUAAUACGUAGGUGGCAAGCGUUGUCCGGAAUUAUUGGGCGUAAAGCGCGCGCAGGCGGUUCCUUAAGUCUGAUGUGAAAGCCCCCGGCUCAACCGGGGAGGGUCAUUGGAAACUGGGGAACUUGAGUGCAGAAGAGAAGAGUGGAAUUCCACGUGUAGCGGUGAAAUGCGUAGAGAUGUGGAGGAACACCAGUGGCGAAGGCGACUCUUUGGUCUGUAACUGACGCUGAGGCGCGAAAGCGUGGGGAGCAACAGGAUUAGAUACCCUGGUAGUCCACGCCGUAAACGAUGAGUGCUAAGUGUUAGAGGGUUUCCGCCCUUUAGUGCUGCAGCAAACGCAUUAAGCACUCCGCCUGGGGAGUACGGCCGCAAGGCUGAAACUCAAAGGAAUUGACGGGGGCCCGCACAAG
RNAcentral lists this ribosomal RNA (885 nucleotides) under Cytobacillus firmus. RNAcentral describes it as "bacterial SSU rRNA". It matches the Rfam family "Bacterial small subunit ribosomal RNA", at positions 61 to 929 of the family's 1533-position model. Lineage: Bacteria; Bacillati; Bacillota; Bacilli; Caryophanales; Bacillaceae. The record is from RNAcentral.